UACAGAGGGUGCAAACGUUGUUCGGAAUUACUGGGCGUAAAGCGAGUGUAGGCGGUGAAGUAAGUCAGAUGUGAAAUCCCACGGCUCAACCAUGGAAGUGCAUUUGAUACUGCUUCGCUUGAGUACUGGAGAGGUUGGUGGAAUUCUUGGUGUAGAGGUGAAAUUCGUAGAUAUCAAGAGGAACACCGGUGGCGAAGGCGGCCAACUGGACAGAUACUGACGCUGAGACUCGAAAGUGCGGGGAGCAAACAGG
RNAcentral lists this ribosomal RNA (253 nucleotides) under uncultured bacterium. RNAcentral's name for it is "partial 16S ribosomal RNA". It matches the Rfam family "Bacterial small subunit ribosomal RNA", at positions 524 to 776 of the family's 1533-position model. The record is from RNAcentral.